GACGAACGCUGGCGGCGUGCUUAACACAUGCAAGUCGAACGGAAAGGCCCUGCUUUUGUGGGGUGCUCGAGUGGCGAACGGGUGGGUAACACGUGAGUAACCUGCCCUUGACUUUGGGAUAACUUCAGGAAACUGGGGCUAAUACCGGAUAGGAGCUCCUGCUGCAUGGUGGGGGUUGGAAAGUUUCGGCGGUUGGGGAUGGACUCGCGGCUUAUCAGCUUGUUGGUGGGGUAGUGGCUUACCAAGGCUUUGACGGGUAGCCGGCCUGAGAGGGUGACCGGCCACAUUGGGACUGAGAUACGGCCCAGACUCCUACGGGAGGCAGCAGUGGGGAAUAUUGCACAAUGGGCGGAAGCCUGAUGCAGCAACGCCGCGUGCGGGAUGACGGCCUUCGGGUUGUAAACCGCUUUCGCCUGUGACGAAGCGUGAGUGACGGUAAUGGGUAAAGAAGCACCGGCUAACUACGUGCCAGCAGCCGCGGUGAUACGUAGGGUGCGAGCGUUGUCCGGAUUUAUUGGGCGUAAAGGGCUCGUAGGUGGUUGAUCGCGUCGGAAGUGUAAUCUUGGGGCUUAACCCUGAGCGUGCUUUCGAUACGGGUUGACUUGAGGAAGGUAGGGGAGAAUGGAAUUCCUGGUGGAGCGGUGGAAUGCGCAGAUAUCAGGAGGAACACCAGUGGCGAAGGCGGUUCUCUGGGCCUUUCCUGACGCUGAGGAGCGAAAGCGUGGGGAGCGAACAGGCUUAGAUACCCUGGUAGUCCACGCUGUAAACGGUGGGUACUAGGUGUGGGGUCCAUUCCACGGGUUCCGUGCCGUAGCUAACGCUUUAAGUACCCCGCCUGGGGAGUACGGCCGCAAGGCUAAAACUCAAAGGAAUUGACGGGGCCCCGCACAAGCGGCGGAGCAUGCGGAUUAAUUCGAUGCAACGCGUAGAACCUUACCUGGGUUUGACAUGGAUCGGGAGUGCUCAGAGAUGGGUGUGCCUCUUUUGGGGUCGGUUCACAGGUGGUGCAUGGCUGUCGUCAGCUCGUGUCGUGAGAUGUUGGGUUAAGUCCCGCAACGAGUGCAACCCUUGUUCACUGUUGCCAGCACGUUAUGGUGGGGACUCAGUGGAGACCGCCGGGGUCAACUCGGAGGAAGGUGGGGAUGACGUCAAGUCAUCAUGCCCCUUAUGUCCAGGGCUUCACGCAUGCUACAAUGGCUGGUACAGAGAGUGGCGAGCCUGUGAGGGUGAGCGAAUCUCGGAAAGCCGGUCUCAGUUCGGAUUGGGGUCUGCAACUCGACCUCAUGAAGUCGGAGUCGCUAGUAAUCGCAGAUCAGCAACGCUGCGGUGAAUACGUUCCCGGG
Molecule: ribosomal RNA, 1343 nt
Filed under: uncultured bacterium
Lineage: Bacteria
Description: 16S ribosomal RNA
Rfam family: Bacterial small subunit ribosomal RNA
Source: RNAcentral